CAACAUACUUUCUAUAUGAGUUUUCAGUAGAUUUAUCAGAGAUCACUGGUGAAGGACUUUGGUCUGCUGAACUCUAACACAUCUGAAGCGAUAUAUAGAAAAACUGGUAUGUUGCGUACAUAAGGGUAGCUUUUCACGAAGUGAGUUAAAGUAAUAUAUAUUUGGGCGACUGGUUGUUCUCGACUCCCGAAGUCAAACGGCACCAAAAUGAAAGAGAAAGAUCGAAUUAAACAAGCUGGUUGUCACAAUUUGUAGAAGCUAUUGACGUGACUCUGAAAUGGCUAGAACACAAAGGUCAAAUAUGAAAGUUGGCGCAAAAAAACAGGAGCAAAUAUUGAGAGGACUGUAUAAUUUAACGGGUUGGAAAAUUUACACUUGUUACUGCAUUGUAUGGAAUUUCAACAAAACAACACAACAUCAACUUUACGUUUUACAUCUUCCUACUGUGUGUAUAUUUAAUUGUCUAUACGUAUAUUUAGUAUGUACGCAAAGUAUGUUUCAUUUUGUCUGAAGAAAGUUAUAGUUCUUCGAAUCUGCUUCUCCCUCUACUUUUAAAAUUGUUUGCUAAAAGGCAUUUAUUAAAAGCAUGGAUGCCAAGUUUGUAUGUUGCCAAUUAAACCUUUAAAUAUGGAAUGUUAGGGGAGGAAUUCAUGAACCUGAAUUACUAAACUACUUAAGUUAAAUGAUACAAAAUAAAUGAGAGGAUUUAAAAGACAA
This is a long non-coding RNA of Xenia sp. Carnegie-2017, 717 nucleotides long. RefSeq lists it as uncharacterized. The record is from RefSeq and is a predicted model, not a curated record. NCBI's taxonomy places the organism in Eukaryota, Metazoa, Cnidaria, Anthozoa, Malacalcyonacea, Xeniidae. The transcript is spliced from 2 exons.